GGGGAUCCUCUAGAGAUUCGCCCGCCGCGCGCGGCGGGCGGGGCGGGGGCACGGGGGGCCUACGGGAGGCAGCAGUGGGGAAUAUUGCACAAUGGGGGAAACCCUGAUGCAGCGACGCCGCGUGAGCGAAGAAGUAUUUCGGUAUGUAAAGCUCUAUCAGCAGGGAAGAAAAUGACGGUACCUGACUAAGAAGCUCCGGCUAAAUACGUGCCAGCAGCCGCGGUAAUAAU
RNAcentral lists this ribosomal RNA (230 nucleotides) under uncultured soil bacterium. RNAcentral's name for it is "partial 16S ribosomal RNA". It matches the Rfam family "Bacterial small subunit ribosomal RNA", at positions 267 to 527 of the family's 1533-position model. The record is from RNAcentral.